GCGGGUAUCGUAUAAUGGCUAUUACCCCAGCCUUCCAAGCUGAUGAUGCGGGUUCGAUUCCCGCUACCCGCUCCA
RNAcentral lists this transfer RNA (75 nucleotides) under Escherichia coli. RNAcentral describes it as "tRNA-Gly". It matches the Rfam family "tRNA". From Rfam's summary of the family: Transfer RNA (tRNA) molecules are approximately 80 nucleotides in length. Their secondary structure includes four short double-helical elements and three loops (D, anti-codon, and T loops). The record is from RNAcentral. Lineage: Bacteria; Pseudomonadati; Pseudomonadota; Gammaproteobacteria; Enterobacterales; Enterobacteriaceae.